This 180-nucleotide ribosomal RNA is filed under the name uncultured bacterium. RNAcentral describes it as "partial 16S ribosomal RNA". It matches the Rfam family "Bacterial small subunit ribosomal RNA", at positions 329 to 508 of the family's 1533-position model. The record is from RNAcentral.
GUCCAGACUCCUACGGGAGGCAGCAGUGAGGAAUAUUGGUCAAUGGGCGAGAGCCUGAACCAGCCAAGUAGCGUGCAGGAUGACGGCCCUAUGGGUUGUAAACUGCUUUAUAAGGGAAUAAAGUGAGUCUCGUGAGGCUUUUGCAUGUACCUUAUGAAUAAGGACCGGCUAAUUCCGUGC